UACGUAGGUGACCAGCGUUGUCCGGAUUUACUGGGCGUAAAGAGCGCGCAGGCGGUCGUUCAAGUCGAGUGUGAAAGCCCCCGGCUCAACUGGGGAGGGUCACUCGAUACUGGUCGACUUGAAGGCAGGAGAGGGAAGCGGAAUUCCCGGUGUAGUGGUGAAAUGCGUAGAUAUCGGGAGGAACACCAGUGGCGAAGGCGGCUUCCUGGCCUGUUCUUGACGCUGAGGCGCGAAAGCUAGGGGAGCAAACGGG
This 253-nucleotide ribosomal RNA is filed under the name uncultured bacterium. RNAcentral describes it as "partial 16S ribosomal RNA". It matches the Rfam family "Bacterial small subunit ribosomal RNA", at positions 524 to 776 of the family's 1533-position model. The record is from RNAcentral.